This 797-nucleotide ribosomal RNA is filed under the name marine metagenome. RNAcentral describes it as "bacterial SSU rRNA". The stretch from base 139 to 797 matches the Rfam family "Bacterial small subunit ribosomal RNA", at positions 874 to 1520 of the family's 1533-position model. The record is from RNAcentral.
CAACCUGUAUUACGUUAGAUGUUUUCGUCUUGAAGGUGUUUGUGGGGUCUUUCACUAGGCCCCGCGUUUCUCUUCGACAACCUAAAUAGUUUUUUGUCCAAAUUUCAGAAAGUGAGCUAACGCGUGAAAUCAGCCGCCUGGGGACUACGGCCGCAAGGCUAAAACCCAAAGGAAUUGACGGGGGCUUACACAAGCGGUGGAGCAUGUGGUUUAAUUCGAAACAACGCGCAGAACCUUACCAAUCCUUGCAAUAUACAGGAAACAACUGUUACAAGUUGUCUUUUGGUAUACAGGCGCUGCAUGGCUGUCGUCAGUUCGUGGCGUGAGCUGUUGGGUUAAGUCCUAGAACGAACGCAACCCUCUUAGCAUGUGCAAUAAUGUUGCCUUGCUAAACUGCCAGUGACAUACGGGAGGAAGGAGAGGAUGACGUCAAGUCCGCAUGGCCCUUAUGGGUUGGGCUACACACGUGCUACAAUGGCGAACACAAAGGGAUGCAAGAUGGCAACAUGGAGCAAAUCCUCAACUUUCGUCGUAGUUCGGAUUGUUCUCUGCAACUCGAGAACAUGAAGUUGGAAUCGCUAGUAAUCGUAGAUCAGAAUGCUACGGUGAAUUUGUAUCUAAGCCUUGUACACACCGCCCGUCACAUAAUGGGAGCGGGACUUGCACAAAGCAUAUUAAACACCAUUUGGACAGAUUUUAACACGUUUUUUUCUGCCUUUGUUUGUUUAGUACGUUACUGUAGGUACUGUGACUGAUAUGAAGGCGUAACAAGGUAGCCGUAGGGGAACCUGCGGCUG